Long non-coding RNA from Salvia miltiorrhiza (redroot sage), 843 nucleotides. RefSeq lists it as uncharacterized. The record is from RefSeq and is a predicted model, not a curated record. Lineage: Eukaryota; Viridiplantae; Streptophyta; Magnoliopsida; Lamiales; Lamiaceae. The transcript has 2 exons.
UGAAUGUUGAAUCAAGAUAAGGCUGUGCUUCUUGGCGAGUAAGGGCUUUGGACCAUGCUACUCUUCCACUUCUAUCAGCUCCCUUGCCUCGACACAUGUAUUCUCCGAACAACACAGUCCUGUAAGACCAGGCUCUGCCCAAGAAGACAGCUCCAGCUCCAUGUACUGUGCAGUUCACAAAGGAAAAAACUCCAUCGUCGUUGCCGGAUUGUCUACGCUGGGCAGCUAUGGCAAAUGAUUGCCCCACCACAGAGAGGCUGCAUUCCUGUUGGAAUCAUUUUUCAACAAUCUGGAUUCAGAAAUCUCAAAGUGCAUUUUUAUCUUACCUUAUAGAGUGAUCUUGCAUUGCCGAAUAUGAAAUCGAUUGAUCCUUGAACCAUACACUUGAAGAAAAAGUGUGUUCCAGUUUCAUCCAAGAGGGUAUCCUGUGAGCCUAUAAAUCUGGAUUUGUACAACACAGAGUGGUCACCGGAUAUUCUGAAAGCGACAGCUUGAUUUCCUCGAGCUCCGGCAUGAAACUGCACCGUGUUCUGCCAAGAAAAAACCUCGAGUUUGAGCUGAGCUGAGUAUUUGAGAACUGGAUGGUUAAAAUGGUGUUAUUACCUGAAAAGUGAUCCCUGCAGCGCAAAAGUAGUCUGAUUCUACUGUGACAGAGGCUGAUCCAAACGUUCCAAUCUCAGCGCCAUUCUCAUCCACGCUCGAAGCUUUGUCGUGCCAUGCGAUGACGGUUGCGUCUGCCUUUUCGGGGUCUCCGAUGAAGGAAAUAUAUGGCUUCGUUGCAGGAACAUGAACCUUUUCACUGUUUAUGGUAAACACAAUCUAGAAUAAGACUAUUUUUGGUAU